UGACACCAAAUAGAAGGCCGACCAGCGGU
This 29-nucleotide small RNA is filed under the name Bombyx mori (domestic silkworm). RNAcentral describes it as "ovarian small RNA-31341". Lineage: Eukaryota; Metazoa; Arthropoda; Insecta; Lepidoptera; Bombycidae. The record is from RNAcentral.